This 618-nucleotide ribosomal RNA is filed under the name uncultured cyanobacterium. RNAcentral describes it as "bacterial SSU rRNA". It matches the Rfam family "Bacterial small subunit ribosomal RNA", at positions 145 to 795 of the family's 1533-position model. Lineage: Bacteria; Bacillati; Cyanobacteriota. The record is from RNAcentral.
AACCACUGGAAACGGUGGCUAAUACCCAAUGUGCCGAGAGGUGAAAGGCUUGCUGCCUGAAGAAGAGCUUGCGUCUGAUUAGCUAGUUGGUGGGGUAAGAGCCUACCAAGGCGACGAUCAGUAGCUGGUCUGAGAGGAUGAUCAGCCACACUGGGACUGAGACACGGCCCAGACUCCUACGGGAGGCAGCAGUGGGGAAUUUUCCGCAAUGGGCGAAAGCCUGACGGAGCAAUACCGCGUGAGGGAGGAAGGCUCUUGGGUUGUAAACCUCUUUUCUCAGGGAAGAACAAAAUGACGGUACCUGAGGAAUAAGCAUCGGCUAACUCCGUGCCAGCAGCCGCGGUAAUACGGAGGAUGCAAGCGUUAUCCGGAAUGAUUGGGCGUAAAGGGUCCGCAGGUGGCAUUGUAAGUCUGCUGUUAAAGAGUUUGGCUCAACCAAAUAAAAGCAGUGGAAACUACAAAGCUAGAGUGUGGUCGGGGCAGAGGGAAUUCCUGGUGUAGCGGUGAAAUGCGUAGAUAUCAGGAAGAACACCGGUGGCGAAGGCGCUCUGCUAGGCCAAGACUGACACUGAGGGACGAAAGCUAGGGGAGCGAAUGGGAUUAGAUACCCCAGUAGUC